GUACGUAACACUUAAAAAAAACACGAAGGGAGUAAACUGCAAAGCACUUAAACCGAAAUAUCGACAAACUGUAAACCGUUUUAGUCGAAGCAUUUAUGACAUGUUUCUAACUUACAAAUAAUCAACAUUUCACGCAAAUUCUUAUUAUUUUCCCUCAAAGUAAAAAAGUUUGUGCAGCCAGCCACAAUUUUUUUUUUUUAAAAAAAAAAAAAUCUUCUUCACUCUCCUCUUUUCUCUACUUUGCCCACCCAAACCCCCCUACGUCCUUUAUCACGAGCUCUUCCUCUUUUUAUCUUCUGUCUCCUCUUUCUCUUUCCUCUUUUCAUCUUCUCUCUCCUCUUUCUCUCUCCUAUUUCUCUUUCCUCUUUUCAUCUUCUCCAAUUAGGCAAUUAGCCCACCCAAACAAAGCUAUUUGGUGCGGCAGUAGUAGCGGUGGAGGAAGCUCCUCGUACUCCGUCUCCAUAAAAUAAGCUAGAGGUUUUCAAGGUCAACUUCAUCCAUGAAAACUCUAGAUCUAGAGUUUUCAUGGUCGAAUUUGGCCUUUUUAAUCGUAUUCGAAGUGAAAUUUGAAGUCACUAUUAAUUUUUAAGGUAUUUGUUCAUUUAAUUAAUUUUUUUUAACGAUUUUAAAUUUUUUUUUAGCUGGAUCUAGAGUUUGGGUGUGGUUUGGGUGUUGUCGUGGUGUGGGUCUGGUUGGAUGUGGUUUAGGUGUGGUUUGGUUUUGGAUUAGAUGAAUUUUGGUGGUGGUGGUUGUUGGUGGUGUGGUGUUGGUGGUGUGGGGCAGUGGGUGCGGCAGUUGGUGGUGGCGUGGUUGUUGGCGGCGUGAAUAUGGGAGUGAAUGUACAACAAGUGGUGUAGGUUGGUUGGGGGUUACUAGGUUAGAGGGGUUACUUGGUCUAGGGUUACUAAGUUGGUCAGGAGUUACUAGGUCGGGGGUUACUUGGUCAGUCAGGGGUUACUAGGUCGGGGGUUAGUAGGUCGGUUAGGGGUUACUUUGGGGGUACUAGGGGUUACUAGGUCGGGGGUUACUUGGUCAGGGGUUACUAAGGAGUCAGGGGUUACUUUGUUUGGGGGGUUACUUGAGGGGUUACUUAAGUGGGGUUACUAGAGAGGUUACUUAAGUAGGGUUACUAGAGGGAUUACUAGAUGGGUUACUUUAGGGGAUACUAGAGGAGUUACUGAUGUGGCAUCUUGCCGCACCAGAAACGCACUGAUAUAUAUAUAUGGAAAAUUUGUCAGAAAUAACCAUUUAAAGCAACUAUUUUGUCAGGAAAAACCUUAUAAAUUUUUUUUGUUCAACACAAUCAAAGGUGAGAAUUCGGCAUUGACUGAGUGUUUUCCGGCGUUGACCCAGCAUGUGUUGGUUACGUGCUCCUUUUUUUUCUAACUCCAACCAAUUAAUCCUUAUUACCCCCACUAAUUUCUCUCUAAAUCUCUCCUUUUAAUUUACCCUUUUUUUUCUUCUUAUUUCCCUGCUUCCUCUCUCUCCUCUCUCAAUCGUCGAGGUAAUUAAUUGAAGAUCUGGGCUUUUUGACAUGGCGGCGUCACUCCUCAAGCAUGAUUUUAAUUAAAGAACUUAAUUUCCACUCACCCUAAACAAACAAAGCAAGAAUUGCUGGAGUUGUGUCAUGUUCGAACAAGCUAAAAGGAACCAAUAACAAAGUUAUAUAUAAACCCAGGGUUUGAUUGAUGCUUUCAAGACAACCAUGCCAAUUGUAGAUAUAAGAUACUGCUUUAGGCACAUUUGGACAAACUUUAAGGGCAAAUUCUCAGGUGUAAACUAUAAAGAACAGUUCUUGAAGGUUGCUAGAUCUUCAACUUCUGUAAGAAGCUAAUCUUGGUGGUAAAUAUGUUGGGUGUUUGUUGAUUAAUGGCCUUAUUUACCUAAAUAACUUGAUUGAUGAUUCCAAUGCAAAACCAUUUCAAUACAAAUAUGGCAGCAAUUAAGAAAAUCAAUGAGGAUGCCUUCAAGUACUUAAGUGAGAUUCCAGCUGUGCAUUGGUCUAGGCAUGCUUUCACUUUUGCUAGUAAAUCUGGUAUGCUUCUUAAUAAUUGUUGUGAGAGUUUUAGUAAUGUAUUAAAAGAUGUUAGGUCAAAACCUAUUUUACAACUUAUGGAGUGGAUUAGGAGGUAUAUUAUGCAAAGGUGUCUUGCUAAAAGGGAGGAGUUAAAACACUUUGAGGGUCACAUAAUGCCUAGUAUUCAGAAAAUGGUGCAUCCAACUGAGAAGGUUGAACUAUGAAGAUUACAUACACCCUGCAUACCAUGUGAAAACUUGUGCCAAAACCUAUGCCUCUACCUUUAGAGCCAUGCCAGGAUAAUCCUAAUAGGAAGUCACACCUUACCCAAAACCAUUCACCCCUCCACAUAGAGUUAUGGUUGAAAGACCUAGUAAGAAGAAGAGAGUGAAGGAACCUAGGGAGGAUGAAGAGAGGAAAAAUGCGAAGAGGGCAAAGAAGCAAAAUACGUGAGGGAGAUGUGGUGGUCUUGGUCAUUACAAGACCAAUUCUUCAAUCUAAUCAUGCAAAAAAUGCCUAAAGGAAAGGUAAGAAAUGCUGAUGCUUUUCCUGGGGCAUCAGGUUCUCAAGCUACACCAACAGAGCCUGCCACCUCUCUACCUCAUCAUGUUAUUGCUUCUAUCAGAGCUCCCAAAACCAAAAGUUAGACAAAGGGGAAAACAGUUGCUGCUACAAUUACUAAGUCAAAGGGGAAGGAUCAUGUCCCUACUAUUACACCAGCACAAAAAAGGCAGUUGCAACAAAGCCUGUAUGCAAGAAGAAGAAAAGACUAAUCCUUCUUUCUGAACUUAGCCAAGCAUCACAAAGUUCAGCCUUUGCAACUGGACAUCCACCAGUGACACAGUCCCAAGAGCAGCCUACUCAGAGAAGUCAUUCAUGAUUUAUAUGUGCAUUGCUCUGUAUUUUGGUACAUGAACUAAGUUAAAUCUAUGUUCUUUUGUGAGCUAAUUGUGGUGAACUAAAUAACCCUCCUUUUGGUCUUUAUUUUCUUUUGUAAGACAAUUAAAUACAAUUAGCACAUUUUAAAUAGUGCUUAUUUUGUUGUCAAAUGCAGAUGUUUUUUUGCUACAUUUGUUAUAACAAUUAAAACACAUAAUCAAAAGUAGUUAAAAUGCAACUUUCAUUUCAUUUUCUGAUAAUUCUAAGUAACUAGACAGUACAUAUACUCUGCUUCCCUAAUUACCUAACUAACUUACUCAAAUACUAAACAAUUCUAGCCAAAGAGUUUCACAAAUAUGAAACUCACAACAACAGAUACAAUGACAUGAACACAAAUUAACUACCCAUAUUUAACCCGAUCUCCCAUUUUCAACCCAGCUGCAGUGUUCUUUCUCCCAAUUUUGUUUUACAGCUUCUCAACUUUUUGGCUAGUCUUUCCUUCUCAUGCUCAACACAUGCCAUCCUUGUUCUCAUAAUUCUUAGAUCGGUGCAAAGCCGGUGUUUCUCUACUACCAGAACAUUAGUUUACAUCUCUCUGCCAGUCUACAA
Chenopodium quinoa (quinoa) is the source of this 3505-nucleotide long non-coding RNA. RefSeq lists it as uncharacterized. The record is from RefSeq and is a predicted model, not a curated record. Lineage: Eukaryota; Viridiplantae; Streptophyta; Magnoliopsida; Caryophyllales; Amaranthaceae. The transcript is spliced from 3 exons.